RNAcentral lists this ribosomal RNA (254 nucleotides) under uncultured bacterium. Its description in RNAcentral is "partial 16S ribosomal RNA". It matches the Rfam family "Bacterial small subunit ribosomal RNA", at positions 524 to 776 of the family's 1533-position model. The record is from RNAcentral.
UACGUAGGGACCAAGCGUUGUUCGGAUUUACUGGGCGUAAAGGGCGCGUAGGCGGCGCGGUAAGUCACUUGUGAAAUCUCCGGGCUUAACCCGGAACGGCCAAGUGAAACUGUCGUGCUAGAGUGCGGAAGGGGCAAUCGGAAUUCUCGGUGUAGCGGUGAAAUGCGUAGAUAUCGAGAGGAACACCUGAGGUGAAGACGGGUUGCUGGGCCGACACUGACGCUGAGUGCGCGAAAGCCAGGGGAGCAAACGGG